AUUAACGUGAAGUAACACUUAUUAACGCUAAUAGCGAUGAAGAAUUUCUUAACUAUCUCUAUUAUUUACUAUGUAGGUUACAUCAUAUGAACCUCAGGACAUUUCUCCUUCAACCGAAACUGUUUUUUACAGAUUCGUUGUUCUACGCAAUGAUCACCCCAAUCAUUGCGUAUUUUUUUGCUUAAACAUUUUA
Molecule: small RNA, 193 nt
Filed under: Acinetobacter calcoaceticus RUH2202
Lineage: Bacteria; Pseudomonadati; Pseudomonadota; Gammaproteobacteria; Moraxellales; Moraxellaceae
Description: Aar sRNA
Rfam family: Aar sRNA
Source: Rfam by way of RNAcentral